RNAcentral lists this ribosomal RNA (1022 nucleotides) under Penicillium aurantiogriseum. Its description in RNAcentral is "SSU rRNA". It matches the Rfam family "Eukaryotic small subunit ribosomal RNA", at positions 72 to 1103 of the family's 1831-position model. Lineage: Eukaryota; Fungi; Ascomycota; Eurotiomycetes; Eurotiales; Aspergillaceae. The record is from RNAcentral.
ACUUGUACUGUGAAACUGCGAAUGGCUCAUUAAAUCAGUUAUCGUUUAUUUGAUAGUACCUUACUACAUGGAUACCUGUGGUAAUUCUAGAGCUAAUACAUGCUAAAAACCCCGACUUCAGGAAGGGGUGUAUUUAUUAGAUAAAAAACCAACGCCCUUCGGGGCUCCUUGGUGAAUCAUAAUAACUUAACGAAUCGCAUGGCCUUGCGCCGGCGAUGGUUCAUUCAAAUUUCUGCCCUAUCAACUUUCGAUGGUAGGAUAGUGGCCUACCAUGGUGGCAACGGGUAACGGGGAAUUAGGGUUCGAUUCCGGAGAGGGAGCCUGAGAAACGGCUACCACAUCCAAGGAAGGCAGCAGGCGCGCAAAUUACCCAAUCCCGAUACGGGGAGGUAGUGACAAUAAAUACUGAUACGGGGCUCUUUUGGGUCUCGUAAUUGGAAUGAGAACAAUUUAAAUCCCUUAACGAGGAACAAUUGGAGGGCAAGUCUGGUGCCAGCAGCCGCGGUAAUUCCAGCUCCAAUAGCGUAUAUUAAAGUUGUUGCAGUUAAAAAGCUCGUAGUUGAACCUUGGGCCUGGCUGGCCGGUCCGCCUCACCGCGAGUACUGGUCCGGCUGGGCCUUUCCUUCUGGGGAACCUCAUGGCCUUCACUGGCUGUGGGGGGAACCAGGACUUUUACUGUGAAAAAAUUAGAGUGUUCAAAGCAGGCCUUUGCUCGAAUACAUUAGCAUGGAAUAAUAGAAUAGGACGUGUGGUUCUAUUUUGUUGGUUUCUAGGACCGCCGUAAUGAUUAAUAGGGAUAGUCGGGGGCGUCAGUAUUCAGCUGUCAGAGGUGAAAUUCUUGGAUUUGCUGAAGACUAACUACUGCGAAAGCAUUCGCCAAGGAUGUUUUCAUUAAUCAGGGAACGAAAGUUAGGGGAUCGAAGACGAUCAGAUACCGUCGUAGUCUUAACCAUAAACUAUGCCGACUAGGGAUCGGACGGGAUUCUAUAAUGACCCGUUCGGCACCUUACGAGAAAUCAAAG